This 468-nucleotide ribosomal RNA is filed under the name uncultured bacterium. RNAcentral's name for it is "partial 16S ribosomal RNA". It matches the Rfam family "Bacterial small subunit ribosomal RNA", at positions 28 to 507 of the family's 1533-position model. The record is from RNAcentral.
GACGAACGCUGGCGGCGUGCUUAACACAUGCAAGUCGAACGGAAAGGCCCUGCUUUUGUGGGGUUCUCGAGUGGCGAACGGGGGAGUAACACGUGAGUAACCUGCCCUUGACUUUGGGAUAACUUCAGGAAACUGGGGCUAAUACCGGAUAGGAGCUCCUGCUGCGUGGUGGGGGUGGGAAAGUUGCGGCUGUCGGGGAUGGACUCGCGGGUGAUCAGCUUGUUGGCGGGGUAGUGGCUUGCCCAGGCUGUGACGGGUAGCCGGCCUGAGAGGGGGAACGGCCACAUUGGGCCUGCGAUACGGCCCAGACUCGUACGGGAGGCAGCAGUGGGGAAUCUUGCCCAAUCGGCGCGAGCCUGUUGCAGAAACGCCGCGUGCGGGAUGACGGCUUUCGGGUUGAAAACAGCUUCCGCCUGUGACGCAGCUUGAGUGACGGUACUGAGAAAAGAAGCACCGGCUAACUACGUG